Long non-coding RNA from Dicentrarchus labrax (European seabass), 5113 nucleotides. Lineage: Eukaryota; Metazoa; Chordata; Actinopteri; Moronidae. The record is from Ensembl.
CAAGCUUUUCUUUAUACUGUGUUCACAGGAGCAUCUCCAGAUCCGUACAUCAGGAUACUGAAUCCCACAGAGGAUGGAGCUCUGCUGCAGUGUGAAGUUCGAGGUGCUUCUCCUAAACCUAAAGUAGAGUGGAAGGACAGUGCUGGAAACAUCCUUCCUGCUGAGGAGACACAGGUCUCAGACAGAGGAGGACGUUACUACGUUACCCUCCUCACCACUGUGACCAAGACCGACCACUACCGCUGUGUAGUCACACAGGAGGAAAUCCACCAUCAGACUCAUUCUGAGACCUACGUGUUCAUCAAUGAGAAACUGUGUGAGGAAUCAUCCAGCAAAGAGCUCAUUGGAUGGUUGGGUGGAUUGUUUAGUGGAUUGGUUUUAGGAGUUUUAAUUCUUGCUGCAGUUCAGUUUGUUCUUGUGGCUACAAAGCGCAUCAUAAUACGUCGUAAUGAAGGUAAGUUUAUAUAAUGUAUCAACAGAUCCAUAAUGUGCAGACAUCAACAUAACAUCCACUGAGACUAUCAGGUCCAGAGACAGUUUGUGUUUGUCUUCUCAGAUAUGAACCGUUCUGUUAGAUAAGAUAAGAUAAGAUAAGAUAUACCUUUAUUAAUCCCCUGUAGGAGAAAUUCAAGUUUGUAUUUACAUGAGACCUGCAGCCAUAUUUAUAAUGAAGUAAUUGAUCAAUUGAGCCAAAAAUGGUAAACAUGGUUCCUAUGGAGCCCUCAGAGGAGCAUAUGAUGGUAAACAUAUUGGCAUAUUAUUGAACUAUUUUAUGAUCUUUUAUAGUUUGAGAACAUAAAGUUUAAAGUCACUCAUUCAUUUACAGGUGUAUCUCAAUAAAUUAGAAUAUCAUGGAAAGGUUCAUUGGUCUCAGGGUAACACUGAACAUUGAGAGUCAUCUGUAAAACAAAUGAAUUCAUCAGCUGACUAAAAACAGCUUUUGAAUCUCCACUGUGUACAGUUUGCAGACUUUUGACAAACAGAUUCUUCUCUGUAAUAUAAAAGUUAACUUUAUGUAAUAUAUACUUUUUUCUUCUCUGCAGGUUCUCAUCAGCAGAGCAACGGUGCUUCUAAGGCUCCUUCUAACGGUUCUUCUAACGGUUCUUCUAAAGAUUCUUCUAAAGAUUCUUCUGACGGUUCUUCUGACGGUUCUUCACAGCCACUUAACCCACCACCUGUUUGAUAGGUUCAUGUUGUGGAGGGGUGUGUGCUGUACAGUGUACAUGUGCAAUCUACAACCACUUUGUCUUCCUACCCUUCAAUACUCUGCAGUAAUCAGAUGGAGUUGAUGAGUUGCACCUCGACCGUGAAUACCACCACAGUAACUGCUUGUAAACCAACUUGACCCAAAGGCUCAUGUUGGAGCAGGAAUUGGACGUGAAAUCAGGGGAAAUGAACAACAUCAAUCAAGAUUACAGGUUUAUUAGGAUUACAGGACGUUUUCCUCAGGUAAAUUCUGCCAAAGUGUUUUAUAUCUGUGCCACUUAAUGUUAGGUUAGUGUUGAUACCUACACUCUCUACGGUCUUAGAUAUAUUUCAACAUAAGGCAGCUCAAACAACAAAGACCAUUUUUAUUACAGGGCUUUUGUAUGAAUGAAUUGUAUUGUCAUGUAUUUCCUCUCACACUGUUGUCCAUGAAGACUCAAAAUGUAACUUUAUGCUGGACUGUUACAUGUAUUAUAGCACAUAAAUGAAUGAGGUGAAGCAACAGACAACUCAACAAAACAGGAAAAAACUAAAUAAUGAGGGAACAAAACUGAUAAAACUAAAGAGACAUAAAGAUCAUAUUGUAUGACAUUAAAUCCACAUUUUUAUUUCUCAAAGGUUUCAGAACAAAAAGGUCAGGUACACUAAAUAGAUAUAUAUUAAUGACACUGUAACAGAGCAGAGAGAUAGUGGGUUGAUUCGUCAGAACUACAGAUUCCUGAAUCUAUGAUGUGUGUGAAUAUAAAGUAACUUGUAGCUUAAUCAUGCUGUGCCUUAAAACAAGAGACAAAACUUAAAUUCAAACAAAAUGAAGCUUGUGAAGUGAAGCAGUAAUGGUUGAUAUCAUGGAUGUUGAGCAUUAAUAGUCUGAAUGAGCUUGUGAGAAGAGACUCUGAAUCUAGACGACUGUCAGAGUCCAGAUGAGAAGAGAUGGACACAAAAGACUUUUCUCAGAUCUGAGAUUGUAAUAAACAUUAAUGCAGAUCAGAUUCCUAACUGAAGGAAAAAGGGAAACGAUUGUAAAGAGAAGGUAGAGUUAAACUCACUGGUUUUAAUUCUUAAAAAGGUCUAUUGACAUGGGAGGUCCAGCUGAACUUGCCUGUAAAUAUUUUAUAGUAUAUAUUGUCAGCUAUCUUCUGUGUUGCUUCAAUGUGCCUUGUUGUGUUUGUCCACUGUAAUAUACUCUGACUGAAUGUGUAUUAUUGAUGCUGACUGCCAUUACAGAUAGUGAGCAUACACACACAUUAUAAAAGAUGGUGUGUGUUUGCUAUUAGUUAUUUUUAUUGGAAGUUUCAUGUUUUUAUUCAAGUAACAUACUGAAUUAUAGUUUGACCAAACCAGCUGUGCUUUCACAAAGUUUUCAAUGUUUCCAAGGUGUCUCUCUCAUAUUGGUGCUUUGUUAAAUUUCCUAAGCAAUAGUGAGGCAUUACAAUCAUCAUGACUGACACUACGAUUGUGUAAAUAAACUUUUUGAACAAACCUUCCUGAUGGAUGACUGGAUGCUUUUAUUUUGAUGUGAUUAUUGAUCUGCUGCAGCAGCUGUUUUUGAAUACUUAAAGUCUUACUGAAGACUAAAAACAAGUUCUAUAAAGUCAUUUUAUAUUCAUAUUGUGAGUAAUAGAGUUAAGAUGAGUGAUUUCUAAGGCUGAACAACAGCUGCUACAGAGGUCCUGGUUAGUUCUGUUUCUGUGUGAAGCUUUAAGCUGUUGGGUUUUUGGCUGCUGGACAUUUGGUUAAUGACUCUCCCUCACUGAUCUUCAGGUUAAAUGUACUACAAGCAGUUUAAGUGGUUAUGAAACAGUCUCAGUUUAAUACUGAUGUCUCUAUAUGACCGACACAAACAGAGAGGAGAUUGGCUGGUUCUAUACAGUUACUCUGGAUGGAUGACACCGGGUCAGAUUUGGUUGAAUUCUCUUGAAAUCAAUAAAACAAAGAGGUGGAAACACUACCACUUUUAACCACAUGGGGUCACCAGAUCAACACAGAAUCAAAGUCCCUUGUUGCUGCUUUAAGAUCACAAACUAAUUAAGAUUGAUCAUAGAAUUAAAACUCCUAAAAACAGAAUCCUCCUGAUUCAAAAGAUGACUGGAUUUGUUUGCUGCUUGUUACUAUGUUACUGUUGUAGCUGCUCCAGGUGGAGGUAAUUUAACUAACUACAAGCUUGUUCAUUCAGUGGUUCUCAACCUAGGGUCAGUCCCCUCCAAAAGGGUCACCAGAUAAACCUGAGGGGCUGUGAGAUGAUUAAUGGGAGAGGAAAGAACACUGUGCACUGCAGUGAUUCCUGUAUUUGAACUGUCAGAAACUGAUUAAAGUGAAACUAAUGCAGAUUCUCCUCCAGGAUUUUCUGGCUUAAGAAAAGUAACAGGACAGAUGUACAGACCUGGAUCAAGGACUAACAGAGGCUCAGGCGAUCGGUUGUAUUUGUGUGUGAAAUAAAAUGAUUAAAAUGGCUCAAAUCAAUCAGUGUGACACAGUACCAACAGUUUCAAAGGCCCUCUGCUGUUGUUCCACCUUUGGGAGGAGCCGAGCUUUCUCCUCCAACAUCAGUGCCUGACCUCAUAAAUGCUCUUUUAGCUGAAUGUGCAAAACCUCCCAGAAGAGUUGCGGCUGUUGGAGCGUUGCUGCAUGUCUUUCUGUCCGCGCCUUGAGUCUAGGUUUAGGUUGGAGGGGGUAGCAGUAUCUCAGCUCUGGUGUUUAGUGUAGUUCUUGGUAGUAGUUUGAUAAUUCCUGAUUUUGUGUAUUCAAGUUAUAUAGAUAUACUCAUUGUUGGAUGUUAUGAUUAAUUCUUUGAAUGCAUAAAUUAUCUAUACAUAGAGUCUUAAAUAUUUGAACUCACAUGCAGUCUCAUGUUCAUUUAUUAAAAUAUAUGUGUGCUCAUUAUUUUACUAAUUUGUUUGUUUAGGUAUAUAUUCAUUUUUAACAUUGUGCACAUUCCCCUUUAAUAGAUAAUCAUCUUUUGUUAUUGUACUAAUUUUACAUCAUAAUCUUACUUAAUUAAUUCAAAUGUUGUUAGUGUUUACUAAUUAUCUUUCACCGUGUUAAUGAUCUUAAGUAAGCCUCAGUUGCUCUGUGUGUGUGUGUGUGUGUGUGUGUGUGUGUGUGUGUGUGUGUGUGUGUGUGUGUGUGUGUGUGUGUUAGAGCAGCACCUGCUUAAGACUAUGGACGAAACAGAUGAUUGUCUCAGGGGGGUUUAUAUGUUUGUAUCUGUGUUACACACAACACCCUCUAUCCUUGGAAUGAACCUCUAUAUUCAUAAAGGUCGGGAUUAACAGAAAUGUGCAGUAGGUAGUAGUGCGCAUGCUCUCACUCAUGCAUAGCUCCCGCAAAGGAAACAGCGACACCAGGUGGUCAGAUCAUGAAAUAAAGCUCAGUCCUCGUGAAAUAUAAAAUACACACAGAUUAAAUAUAAAACGCACAUUAUCACUACAUUUCAGUAUGUGCCUUAGUGUGGAUGGCCUAUAGUUUUAUUAUUAUUAUUAUUAUUAUUAUUAUUAUUAUUAUUAUUAUUAUAAGAUUACAAAAACAAAACUUGGUCCUACUUGGACACCGUGGGACACAGUAUCUCAACAAAUGUUAAAAAUGCACAAAGCAGUCUGAGUACUAAAUCAACUAAGCUCCCCGCGCCCCGGGAAAAUAUUGUGCCAGACUCCCUUUAAGAAACACGUCAUUUUAACCAUUCCUAACGUGUCCGUAAAACACAGAAUUCUAGAAACACGAGAUAAAGGAUGUGAUAUGUCGACUGUCUUCUUGUCAGUUCGGUAAUAAUAUUAUGUAUGAAGACAGACUGUUGUCCCUGUGCAUUUAGGAUUGUGCUGCCUCCGCUGGCUGUCAGCCUCCAUUGGUUCGCUGUGUUAUUGUAGUUGGAGUAGACUGUGGGGAUGAGAGGGGGGGCCGUUUUAAAAAAAUA